Long non-coding RNA from Papaver somniferum (opium poppy), 1571 nucleotides. RefSeq lists it as uncharacterized. The record is from RefSeq and is a predicted model, not a curated record. The transcript is spliced from 3 exons. NCBI's taxonomy places the organism in Eukaryota, Viridiplantae, Streptophyta, Magnoliopsida, Ranunculales, Papaveraceae.
CAUCUGUAACGAAAUACAUAGCACCACCAUCAAAAAUCAUUAGCACUACAAUGAUUAUUCGAACGUAAAUAAUCAAAUCAAUUGUUCCAUGCGUUACAAAAAUAAAGAUACCUAUUAUCAACACCACUAUUCUCCUUACCAAUCCCUUUAAAUGUUCAUAAAAUCCCGAAAAAAUUAUCUUGCACAAGUCCUCGGUGCUAACCAAUCCCCUUUCUCUCUAUCAGGAUUCAUAUAAGAUUCUGUGGUUUUGUUUAAUAUUUUUGGUUGUUUUAUUUGAUAAUCUUUCAGUAGCUUUUCUCCGAUUGAUUCUUUUAUUGCAGAUUUUUAUUGCUGUUGGUGCACCAUAGAUUGUAAAAUCAGGGAAAAGCAUCAAUCUCAGGUGUCAGAAAAAUUUGGAGUUCUGCAAAAUCUAAAGGUGGCAUUUACAUAAGGCAUUUUAUUGGCAUCUAAUAAUCGAUCAAGGAAAUAUACUAUAUUCUCAGUAUAUUGCUAAUAAGAAAGGCAGUGUAGAUAUGGGGAUGCAAAGGCUGCUGUAAAGUAAAAGUUGGUGGUGCCUGCAUCGUGAAGUAAGUAAAUCCUCUCCUUCCCCGUUGCUCUCUCACAUGCAUUCACAUGAUGGUUAUUCCACAUUAAAAUGCAUUGUGUUACGGUUAAAUUCUUUGAAGUAUAGAGCCAGUGAACUUUUACUAUUUUUUGUCCUUUUCAGUCAGCAAUAUGACUAAUCCAUAUUGACAUUGUUGUGAAUAGAAAGUAUUCCCUGUAUAAGGUAUACGCCACCAUUAUUCAAGUUUUUUCUUGAAGUUCUUAGUUAAAUAAUCUCUUCAUAAAAUCUUUUCCCUGAUAUGCGCCUCAAGCCGUUUUGAAUUGCUAAUAUACGUCGGAUGGGAGCGUUGGAGGAGGGUUAAUUCUCUGCCGAGAUUCUUAGUUAAAUAAUCUCUUCAUAAAAGUUUUUUCUUGAAGUACUUGGGAUUUUAUCAUAGCUGUUUUGAACAAUCUUGCUGCCAAUGUCCGAAAAGUAAGCUUUCUCGUGUAGAAAAGAGGCGUAGUAUAAAAAAAAAUCGAGGAGAAAGGAGUUCCGGUAUAAUGAAGGUGAUUAACUUUGAUCAACGGUUAAUCUCAGGAAAAUCUUAUUGAAAACUUUGUUGUGCUGGCUGUAGAAGUUUUAUCCCAGUUGAAAUCUUAUUUUUAAUUUUUUUUAAUUGUCAACGGUUAAUCUCAGGCAAAUGUCCAUGUAACUUAGGGUAGAAGAUAGUCUGGCUAAAUGGAUAAUUUGUAGCAUGUUUGAAAACUGGAUAAAUUUAGGAACCACGACAAGAAACUGAGAGAGGAGCAGCAGGAAGUACUGGCGAUAAUAGUAGUAGACAAAAGAGAAACCUCGCCAUCAAGAAGAGUGGAGGAAAAAGUAAAAGUGAAGCAAACCUUGACAUUCAGUGGAAGAAUGAACGGUUGACAUCAUAGUCCGUUCAGUUUGCAAUUAUAGUUAUGAUUGGUAUGCUAUGUAAUUUGCAAUUACAAGAAUUCACACCUAAUUCAAAUUUCGUAGGUGCACGAAUGGUUUACACUUCAAAAAG